AGAGAAGGUAUCUGCAGCUGUCUGUGAACGACCUCCUCAGGUAGCAGAGCUGAAGACGAAACUGGACGCCGCGGAAAGAUUCCUCAGCACGCGGGAGAAGGAUCCGCAUCAGAGGCAGAGAAAGGACGACAGGCAGAGAGAGGACGACAGGCAGCGCGACCUGACCCGGGACCGGCUGCAGCGGGAGGAGAAGGAAAAGGAACGCCUAAAUGAAGAAUUACAUGAAUUGAAGGAAGAGAAUAAACUUUUAAAGGGAAAAAAUACUCUUGCGAACAAGGAAAAGGAACAUUACGAAUGUGAAAUAAAACGCCUCAAUAAGGCUCUUCAGGAUGCCUUGAAUAUCAAGUGUUCAUUUUCCGAGGACUGUUUGAGGAAGUCUCGAGUGGAAUUCUGCCAUGAGGAGAUGAGAACAGAAAUGGAAGUUCUGAAGCAGCAGGUGCAAAUAUACGAAGAAGACUUCAAAAAGGAACGAUCGGAUCGAGAGAGACUUAAUCAAGAGAAAGAGGAGCUACAGCAAAUUAAUGAAACUUCCCAAUCCCAGUUGAACAGGCUGAAUUCCCAGAUAAAAGCUUGUCAGAUGGAGAAAGAAAAACUAGAAAAGCAAUUAAAACAGAUGUAUUGCCCACCCUGUAACUGCGGCUUGGUUUUCCACCUGCAAGAUCCAUGGGUACCAACAGGCCCUGGAGCUGUGCAGAAGCAACGGGAGCACCCAGUUUAUCCUCAGUAAAGAAAGUCCAUCAGUAGAAGUACACACUAACAGAGAGAGACAACAGGCAACGAGGGAGCGUGGCUGAGGACCCUCUUCUUUGUUUAUACUGAGGCUUGUUUCUGCCACAAA
RNAcentral lists this small RNA (838 nucleotides) under Pan troglodytes (chimpanzee). RNAcentral's name for it is "retained intron". The record is from RNAcentral. Lineage: Eukaryota; Metazoa; Chordata; Mammalia; Primates; Hominidae.